Molecule: unclassified non-coding RNA, 327 nt
Filed under: Wiesneriomyces sp.
Lineage: Eukaryota; Fungi; Ascomycota; Dothideomycetes; Tubeufiales; Wiesneriomycetaceae
Description: partial contains 5.8S ribosomal RNA, internal transcribed spacer 2, and large subunit ribosomal RNA
Rfam family: 5.8S ribosomal RNA (bases 1-71)
Source: RNAcentral
GUGAAUCAUCGAAUCUUUGAACGCACAUUGCGCCCUUUGGUAUUCCGAAGGGCAUGCCUGUUCGAGCAUCAUUUCAAACCUCAAGCUUCUGCUUGGUAUUGAGCGUUUUUUUCGUCUGUCUGACAGACGCGCUCGAAACUCGUGGGCGGUAAUUGUCCAGCGUCUUUGCGUAGUCAUAUAAUUUCGCUUAGGUUAGGUCAAUCUGCUUGCCAAACAAAACAGACGUUGGAAAGGUCUUCGGAUCUUACCCAGCGCUACCAUUCUAAGGUUUGAUCUCGGAUCAGGUAGGGAUACCCGCUGAACUUAAGCAUAUCAAUAAGCGGAGGA